Small nuclear RNA from Molossus molossus (Pallas's mastiff bat), 109 nucleotides. NCBI's taxonomy places the organism in Eukaryota, Metazoa, Chordata, Mammalia, Chiroptera, Molossidae. The record is from RefSeq and is a predicted model, not a curated record.
AUGCUUGCUUCUGCAGCAUAUAUACUAAAAAUCAGAGUGAAACAAACAAAAUUAGCAUGGUCACCUGAGCAAAGAUGACAUGCAAAUUCGUUAAGUGUUCCACAUUUAA